AGGACGAACGCUGGCGGCGUGCCUAACACAUGCAAGUCGAGCGAGGGCAGGGCUUCGGUCCUGACCCGAGCGGCGGACGGGUGAGUAACACGUGAGUAAUCUGUCUCUGUGCGGGGGACAACCCGGGGAAACUCGGGCUAAUACCGCAUGGUCGGUACCCAGGUUCUGGGAAUCGGGAAAGGUGGCCUCUUUACAAUGCUGCCGUGCAGAGAGGAACUCGCGGGCUAUCAGCUAGUUGGUAGGGUUACGGCCUACCAAGGCGACGACGGCUACGGGGUCUGAGAGGACGACCCCGCACAUUGGAACUGAGACACGGUCCAGACUCCUACGGGAGCAGCAGGUGGGGAAUAGUUGGGCAAGUGG
RNAcentral lists this ribosomal RNA (363 nucleotides) under uncultured soil bacterium. Its description in RNAcentral is "bacterial SSU rRNA". It matches the Rfam family "Bacterial small subunit ribosomal RNA", at positions 26 to 375 of the family's 1533-position model. The record is from RNAcentral.